AGGUUACUGCUAUCGGUGUCCGCCUAAGCCAUGCGAGUCAUAUGCUCGUAAGAACAUGGCGUACUGCUCAGUAACACGUGGAUAACCUGCCCUUGGGUCCGGCAUAACCCCGGGAAACUGGGGAUAAUUCCGGAUAACGCACAUAUGCUGGAAUGCUUUCUGCGUAAAAUGGAUUCGUCUGCCCAAGGAUGGGUCUGCGGCCUAUCAGGUAGUAGUGGGUGUAAUGUACCUACUAGCCUACGACGGGUACGGGUUGUGAGAGCAAGAGCCCGGAGAUGGAUUCUGAGACAUGAAUCCAGGCCCUACGGGGCGCAGCAGGCGCGAAAACUUUACAAUGCGGGAAACCGUGAUAAGGGGACACCGAGUGCCAGCAUCCUAUGCUGGCUGUCCGGGUGUGUAAAAUACACCUGUUAGCAAGGGCCGGGCAAGACCGGUGCCAGCCGCCGCGGUAACACCGGCGGCCCGAGUGGUGAUCGUGAUUAUUGGGUCUAAAGGGUCCGUAGCCGGUUUGGUCAGUCCUCCGGGAAAUCUGACAGCUCAACUGUUAGGCUUUCGGAGGAUACUGCCAGACUUGGAACCGGGAGAGGUAAGAGGUACUACAGGGGUAGGAGUGAAAUCUUGUAAUCCCUGUGGGACCACCUGUGGCGAAGGCGUCUUACCAGAACGGGUUCGACGGUGAGGGACGAAAGCUGGGGGCACGAACCGGAUUAGAUACCCGGGGUAGUCCCAGCCGUAAACGAUGCUCGCUAGGUGUCAGGCAUGGCGCGACCGUGUCUGGUGCCGCAGGAAAGCCGUGAAGCGAGCCACCUGGGAAGUACGGCCGCAAGGCUGAAACUUAA
RNAcentral lists this ribosomal RNA (839 nucleotides) under uncultured soil archaeon. Its description in RNAcentral is "bacterial SSU rRNA". It matches the Rfam family "Archaeal small subunit ribosomal RNA", at positions 21 to 859 of the family's 1478-position model. The record is from RNAcentral.